This 253-nucleotide ribosomal RNA is filed under the name uncultured bacterium. Its description in RNAcentral is "partial 16S ribosomal RNA". It matches the Rfam family "Bacterial small subunit ribosomal RNA", at positions 524 to 776 of the family's 1533-position model. The record is from RNAcentral.
UACGUAGGGUGCAAGCGUUAAUCGGAAUUACUGGGCGUAAAGCGUGCGCAGGCGGUUCUAUAAGACAGAUGUGAAAUCCCCGGGCUCAACCUGGGAACUGCAUUUGUGACUGUAGAGCUGGAGUACGGCGGAGGGGGAUGGAAUUCCGCGUGUAGCAGUGAAAUGCGUAGAUAUGCGGAGGAACACCGAUGGCGAAGGCAAUCCCCUGGGCCUGUACUGACGCUCAUGCACGAAAGCGUGGGGAGCAAACAGG